This is a microRNA precursor of Delphinapterus leucas (beluga whale), 85 nucleotides long. Ensembl annotates it as microRNA 346. Its record names the gene MIR346. The record is from Ensembl. NCBI's taxonomy places the organism in Eukaryota, Metazoa, Chordata, Mammalia, Artiodactyla, Monodontidae.
UCUGUCUGCCCGCAUGCCUGCCUCUCUGUUGCUCUGAAGGAGGCAGGGGCUGGGCCUGCAGCUGCCUGGGCAGAGCGGCUCCUGC